RNAcentral lists this ribosomal RNA (253 nucleotides) under uncultured bacterium. RNAcentral's name for it is "partial 16S ribosomal RNA". It matches the Rfam family "Bacterial small subunit ribosomal RNA", at positions 524 to 776 of the family's 1533-position model. The record is from RNAcentral.
UACGGAGGGAGCUAGCGUUGUUCGGAAUUACUGGGCGUAAAGCGCGCGUAGGCGGUGACUCAAGUCAGAGGUGAAAGCCCGGGGCUCAACCCCGGAACUGCCUUUGAAACUAGGUCGCUAGAAUCUUGGAGAGGUCAGUGGAAUUCCGAGUGUAGAGGUGAAAUUCGUAGAUAUUCGGAAGAACACCAGUGGCGAAGGCGACUGACUGGACAAGUAUUGACGCUGAGGUGCGAAAGUGUGGGGAGCAAACAGG